RNAcentral lists this ribosomal RNA (353 nucleotides) under Priasilpha obscura. RNAcentral's name for it is "partial 12S ribosomal RNA". The record is from RNAcentral. Lineage: Eukaryota; Metazoa; Arthropoda; Insecta; Coleoptera; Phloeostichidae.
UUUAAAUGUAAAAUUAAUUGCUUGAUUAGUAUUAGUUAUGUUCUUGAAAAUUAAAAAAUUUGGCGGUAUUUUAGUCUAUUCAGAGGAAUCUGUCCUAUAAUUGAUAUUCCACGAUUAAAGUAACUUAUUUUAAUUAGUUUGUAUAUCGUCGUAGUUUGAAUAUUUUUUAAGAAUUUAAAUGUUCAAAAUUUUUAAUUAAGAAAAGAAAUCAGAUCAAGGUGCAGUUUAUAAGUAAGGAGAGAUGGAUUACAAUAAUUUUAUUUAAAUGGAUUUAAAUAUUAAAAUUUUAUUGAAAGUGGAUUUGAAAGUAAUUUUAAUUAAUAUAUUAAAAUGAUUUUAGCUCUAAAAUAUGU